Molecule: non-coding RNA, 341 nt
Organism: Pelobates cultripes (western spadefoot toad)
Lineage: Eukaryota; Metazoa; Chordata; Amphibia; Anura; Pelobatidae
Source: the annotation of a GenBank genome assembly
GAGCUCCCGCUGCACGGGCUCUAAUCGUGAUUUCAUCUCAGGCUGCAGUGCGGAAAACCUUCCACAACACAGCCAUAUAGACUAGGGAAGCCUGCAUGUACCCGGAGACACCAAACUUGACACCCGGGAUGACCAGGAACAGCAGCAGCAAGUUGGGGCCUAUUAGAGAUGGAGAGGAGGAAAGGCUUUUCAUUCCGAUGCUGAAAGCCGCAUGCAAAUACAGUACACCUUCUUUCUACCCCCCCUGCCCCAUGGACUGGUGGGGGAUAUCCCGGUCCCCACCAGACGGUGCAACCCACACCCCACAUCUCUGGGUGAGUCCCGCAGUCCUAGCAAGCAAC